UAGGGAAUCUUCCACAAUGGACGCAAGUCUGAUGGAGCAACGCCGCGUGAGUGAAGAAGGUUUUCGGAUCGUAAAGCUCUGUUGUUGGUGAAGAAGGAUAGAGGCAGUAACUGGUCUUUAUUUGACGGUAAUCAACCAGAAAGUCACGGCUCACUACGUGCCAGCAGCCGCGGUAAUACGUAGGUGGCAAGCGUUUUCCGGAUUUAUUGGGUGUAAAGCGAGCGCAGGCGGAAUGAUAAGUCUGAUGUGAAGGCCCACGGCUCAACCGUAGAACGGCAUCGGAAACUGUCAUUCUUAAGUGCAGAAGAGGAGAGUGGAAUUCCAUGUGUAGCGGUGGAAUGCGUAGAUAUAUGGAAGAACACCAGUGGCGAAGGCGGCUCUCUGGUCUGCAACUGACGCUGAGGCUCGAAAGCAUGGGUAGCGAACAGG
RNAcentral lists this ribosomal RNA (429 nucleotides) under bacterium. RNAcentral's name for it is "partial 16S ribosomal RNA". It matches the Rfam family "Bacterial small subunit ribosomal RNA", at positions 355 to 776 of the family's 1533-position model. The record is from RNAcentral.